GACGAAGGUGGCGACCGUUGUUCGGAAUCACUGGGCAUAAAGAGCACGUAGGCGGCAAGGUAUGUCGGGUGUGAAAUCCCUCGGCCCAACCGAGGAAUUGCGCCCGAAACUACCCUGCUUGAGGAUGGAAGGGGAGCGUGGAAUUCCUGGUGGAGCGGUGAAAUGCGUUGAUAUCAGGAGGAACACCGGCGGCGAAGGCGACGCUCUGGUCCAUUACUGACGCUGAGGUGCGAAAGCCAGGGGAGCAAACGGG
This 253-nucleotide ribosomal RNA is filed under the name uncultured bacterium. RNAcentral's name for it is "partial 16S ribosomal RNA". It matches the Rfam family "Bacterial small subunit ribosomal RNA", at positions 524 to 776 of the family's 1533-position model. The record is from RNAcentral.